Molecule: non-coding RNA, 26 nt
Filed under: Mus musculus (house mouse)
Lineage: Eukaryota; Metazoa; Chordata; Mammalia; Rodentia; Muridae
Source: RNAcentral
UAAUCAAACUGUCGUUGAUCCACAUA